RNAcentral lists this ribosomal RNA (556 nucleotides) under uncultured Neisseria sp. RNAcentral describes it as "bacterial SSU rRNA". It matches the Rfam family "Bacterial small subunit ribosomal RNA", at positions 347 to 894 of the family's 1533-position model. Lineage: Bacteria; Pseudomonadati; Pseudomonadota; Betaproteobacteria; Neisseriales; Neisseriaceae. The record is from RNAcentral.
GGCAGCAGUGGGGAAUUUUGGACAAUGGGCGAAAGCCUGAUCCAGCCAUGCCGCGUGUAUGAAGAAGGCCUUAGGGUUGUAAAGUACUUUUGUUAGGGAGGAAAAGCUACAGGUUAAUACCCUGUAGUCAUGACAGUACCUAAAGAAUAAGCACCGGCUAACUACGUGCCAGCAGCCGCGGUAAUACGUAGGGUGCAAGCGUUAAUCGGAAUUACUGGGCGUAAAGCGAGUGCAGGCGGUUUGUUAAGCUAGAUGUGAAAGCCCCGGGCUCAACCUGGGAAUUGCGUUUAGAACUGGCAAGCUAGAGUGUGUCAGAGGGGGGUAGAAUUCCACGUGUAGCAGUGAAAUGCGUAGAGAUGUGGAGGAAUACCGAUGGCGAAGGCAGCCCCCUGGGAUAACACUGACGCUCAUACUCGAAAGCGUGGGUAGCAAACAGGAUUAGAUACCCUGGUAGUCCACGCCCUAAACGAUGACAAUUAGCUGUUGGGGAAUUAAAAGUCCUUGGUAGCGUAGCUAACGCGUGAAAUUGUCCGCCUGGGGAGUACGGUCGCAAGGC